Zeugodacus cucurbitae (melon fly) is the source of this 1211-nucleotide long non-coding RNA. RefSeq lists it as uncharacterized. The transcript is spliced from 3 exons. The record is from RefSeq and is a predicted model, not a curated record. Lineage: Eukaryota; Metazoa; Arthropoda; Insecta; Diptera; Tephritidae.
UUUGUAACCUUUACUCUGUAUAUUCUCAAAUAAAAUAUAUUUUUUAUGAAAAAAGUAAAUUGAUAUUGAAAUUUUGACUGUGCAUAGGGAAGUGGGCGGAGGGUGUUAAACACAACAAUAAAACAAAUACGAUUACAUUUGAAUCAAGAGCAAUUACUGUUAAUCUCAAAUACUUCUACUGUUAACAUAAAUGUAUAAGUAUUUGCUACAACAGUGCCCCGUAUUUCGAUCAAAAGUGUUCCACUGUUAAUUUAAAUACUUGACGCAUUUACUUCAACAGUGCUCGCACUUUUAAAACAAAUACUCAAAGUAUUUGGUCACUUUUCUAAUGCAAAAAGUAUUUGUGGCAAAUGCAGAAUACUUUGGUUUUACUAGUUUUUUUUUUUCAGAGUAAUAUUUUCUUGACAUCCUGAUGACACUGGUGGAAUAUGGGCGAAAUCGGUUCACAACUACGUCUGCUUCCCAUAUAACUCAAUUUUGAAUCCUUCUGAUUCGUUCACUUUAUAAUGUAUACAUAAGGAACCGAUAAAGAUAGCGAAAUAAAACUUUACACAAAUACUGCAUUUGAGCUGUGACAUCACUUGUGGAAAAAUUGUCAAAAUCGAACCAUGACUUUUCAAGGCCCCUGAUAUCAAACGUAAAGAACUCAGUACCUAAGUGUAAUUUUCACCGAAAACAUAGACCGAUUUUCAAUCAUUGAAUGGACAAUGUUUCACAAAAGGCAUAUCGAUACAGAAACAACCUCUGGCGCUACGUUAAAAAUAUAAAUUAUAUGUAUAAAUGUAUCUUAGAAGUCGAAAUUCAUUCAAUACUUACUCAUCUGGAGCAUCAUUGCCUAUAUUAUAUUCAUUUGUUUGUAUGACAAGUGCAAAAGGAUUUUUCCCACUAACUGGUAAACGUUUAGACCCUUCCACACAGCCAUUUGGGCAGGAAACACCAACAAACUUUUUGUGUUUGAACAUAGCACUGGCGAGGAAGCAAAUACUUAAGAAAUGCGAACAACGGGAUCGUCCUAGGAUAUGAAAAUAUUAUCAAUGGCGCACAAUUAUAGUAAAGAACUAGAGUAGUAUUUAGGAUUUCCUUUACAAAAUGGUUGAAAUCUCCCACCAUUAACACAGUAGUUCAGAUGACCUAUAUUCUCUUCCUGACCCAAGAAGCCCGCAUUAGUGUGAAUCACUUGAAUAACACUCGCAUCAUCUAUGGAUAAUCGG